RNAcentral lists this ribosomal RNA (433 nucleotides) under uncultured bacterium. RNAcentral describes it as "partial 16S ribosomal RNA". It matches the Rfam family "Bacterial small subunit ribosomal RNA", at positions 29 to 507 of the family's 1533-position model. The record is from RNAcentral.
AACGAACGCUGGCGGCAUGCCUAACACAUGCAAGUCGAACGAGACCUUCGGGUCUAGUGGCGCACGGGUGCGUAACGCGUGGGAACCUGCCCUUAGGUUCGGAAUAACUCCCCGAAAGGGGUGCUAAUACCGGAUAAUGUCUUCGGACCAAAGAUUUAUCGCCUUUGGAUGGGCCCGCGUUGGAUUAGCUAGUUGGUAGGGUAAAAGCCUACCAAGGCGACGAUCCAUAGCUGGUCUGAGAGGAUGAUCAGCCACACUGGGACUGAGACACGGCCCAGACUCCUACGGGAGGCAGCAGUGGGGGAUAUUGGACAAUGGGCGAAGGCCUGAUCCAGCAAUGCCGCGUGAGUGAUGAAGGCCUUAGGGUUGUAAAGCUCUUUUACCCGGGAUGAUAAUGACAGUACCGGGAGAAUAAGCUCCGGCUAACUCCGUG